RNAcentral lists this ribosomal RNA (498 nucleotides) under uncultured bacterium. RNAcentral's name for it is "partial 16S ribosomal RNA". It matches the Rfam family "Bacterial small subunit ribosomal RNA", at positions 30 to 523 of the family's 1533-position model. The record is from RNAcentral.
AUUGAACGCUGGCGGCAUGCCUUACACAUGCAAGUCGAACGGUAACAGGUCUUCGGAUGCUGACGAGUGGCGAACGGGUGAGUAAUACAUCGGAACGUGCCUAGUAGUGGGGGAUAACUACUCGAAAGAGUGGCUAAUACCGCAUGAGAUCUACGGAUGAAAGCAGGGGAUCGCAAGAACUUGUGCUACUAGAGCGGCCGAUGGCAGAUUAGGUAGUUGGUGGGAUAAAAGCUUACCAAGCCGACGAUCUGUAGCUGGUCUGAGAGGACGAUCAGCCACACUGGGACUGAGACACGGCCCAGACUCCUACGGGAGGCAGCAGUGGGGAAUUUUGGACAAUGGGCGCAAGCCUGAUCCAGCAAUGCCGCGUACAGGAUGAAGGCCUUCGGGUUGUAAACUGCUUUUGUACGGAACGAAAAGCCCCGGGUUAAUACCCUGGGGUCAUGACGGUACCGUAAGAAUAAGCACCGGCUAACUACGUGCCAGCCGCCGCGGUAA